GUAAAGUCAGCUAAUU
This 16-nucleotide transfer RNA is filed under the name Madascincus stumpffi. RNAcentral's name for it is "partial tRNA-Met". RNAcentral also lists the same sequence under 11 other names. The record is from RNAcentral. Lineage: Eukaryota; Metazoa; Chordata; Lepidosauria; Squamata; Scincidae.